Molecule: ribosomal RNA, 422 nt
Filed under: uncultured archaeon
Lineage: Archaea
Description: partial 16S ribosomal RNA
Rfam family: Archaeal small subunit ribosomal RNA
Source: RNAcentral
CUACGGGAUGCAGCAGGCGAGAAAACUUUGCAAUGUGCGAAAGCACGACAAGGUUAAUCCGAGUGGUUUCUGCUAAAGGAACCUUUUGUCAGUCCUAGAAACACUGAUGAAUAAGGGGUGGGCAAGUUCUGGUGUCAGCCGCCGCGGUAAAACCAGCACCUCAAGUGGUCAGGAUGAUUAUUGGGCCUAAAGCAUCCGUAGCCUGCUUUGUUAGUUUUCGGUUAAAUCUGUACGCUCAACGUACAGGCUGCCGGGAAUACUGCAAAGCUAGGGAGUGGGAGAGGUAGACGGUACUCGGUAGGAAGGGGUAAAAUCCUUUGAUCUAUUGAUGACCACCUGUGGCGAAGGCGGUCUACCAGAACACGUCCGACGGUGAGGGAUGAGAGCUGGGGGAGCAAACCGGAUUAGAUACCCCAGUAGUC